RNA transcript from Tachysurus fulvidraco (yellow catfish), 4538 nucleotides. It is a transcript of the gene named dihydropyrimidine dehydrogenase a, tandem duplicate 1, with no coding region annotated. The record is from RefSeq and is a predicted model, not a curated record. NCBI's taxonomy places the organism in Eukaryota, Metazoa, Chordata, Actinopteri, Siluriformes, Bagridae. The transcript has 24 exons.
CUGUGUAUCAACAGUACAAAGUUUGCUCCUGAACUUUCUCUAGUCCCACGUGAGAUUACUACACACACUCUUGCUUCUUGGAACCGAUAGCUGAAGGCUUUAUCAGUGAAGUCGUGCUAGUUUUGGCUCAUUUUCAGGCUCUCCGGUCCAGAAAAGGACGGAUUCCUGAAAUAAGAAGGAAAGACGCGGUGUGUGUGUGUGUGUGUGUGUGUGUGUGUGUGUGUGUGUGUGUGUGUAUACUGGAGUCUGCUCCAUACUCCUGCGACUUUACAAGCUUUAACCGCGCCUCAGAGCUCGCUGGAUUUCAACACUGCCUUUUUAAAACCCUUCGUUUUUAAAUUUUUGAUAUUUUCUGAGCGGUUUUGAUUCUUCGAAACAAAUAUGGCUAGAAUGCUGAGCAAGGACCUGCCGGAUAUCGAGAAUAUCCUUGCCCUCAAUCCGAGGGUGAAGAGCCAUGCUGUGCUCCACUCCACUGCAGCCAAGAAAGCUGAGAAAAAGCACUGGAAGAGGAACACAGAGAAAAGCUGUGAUAGCUGCGUGAAGCUGGAGAACAAUUUUGAUGACAUCAAACACACGACACUGAGCGAGCGCGGAGCACUUCGGGAAGCCAUGAGAUGCCUAAAGUGUGCAGAUGCACCUUGUCAGAAGAGCUGCCCCACUAAUCUCGACAUAAAGGCUUUUAUCACCAGCAUCUGUAACAAGAACUAUUACGGGGCAGCGAGGACGAUCCUGUCGGACAACCCGCUGGGCCUGACAUGUGGGAUGGUGUGUCCCACCUCAGACCUGUGUGUGGGUGGCUGCAACCUCUAUGCCUCGGAGGAAGGGCCUAUCAACAUCGGAGGACUGCAGCAGUUUGCUGUUGAGGUGUUCAGUAAGAUGGGUAUUCCUCAGGUGAGGAAGCCUGGCCUUCCUCCUCCUGAACAAAUGCCUGAGAGCUACCACUCAAAGAUCGCCCUGAUCGGCUGCGGCCCUGCCAGCAUCAGCUGUGCCACGUUUCUCGCCCGUCUUGGAUACAGCGACAUCACCAUUUUUGAGAAGGAGAAGUAUGUCGGCGGACUGAGCUCUUCAGAAAUCCCUCAGUUCCGCCUGCCCUAUGAGGUGGUGCAGUUUGAGCUGGACCUGAUGAAAGACCUGGGAGUGAAGAUUGUCUGCGAGAAAGGACUAGGCCAAGAAGGAAUGACACUCCAGUCACUGAAAGAGCAGGGAUAUAAAGCUGUCUUCAUUGGAAUUGGUCUACCUCAAGCUAACAGGCACAAAAUGUUUGAAGGCCUCUCUAUGGAACAGGGAUUUUAUACCUCCAAGGAUUUUCUCCCACUAGUUGCCAAGGCCAGCAAACCAGGGAUGUGCAGCUGCCGUCCAGCGUUGCCUCAGCUCCAUGGCUCUGUGAUUGUCCUGGGCGCUGGAGACACUGCCUUUGACUGUGCUACGUCCGCCCUGCGCUGCGGCGCACGCCGGGUCUAUGUGGUGUUCAGACGUGGCUUCACCAACAUCCGCGCAGUCCCAGAAGAGAUGGAACUGGCUAAGGAAGAGAAAUGCGAGUUCCUGCCUUUCCUGUCACCAAGGGAGGUUAUACUGAAGAAGGGUCUUGUGCACGCCAUGGAGUUCUGCCGCACAGAGCAAACCGAGACAGGCGAAUGGGUUGAGGACCACGAGCAGAUCAUACGUCUCAAAGCAGACUUCAUCAUCAGUGCUUUCGGCUCAGUGUUGAAUGACUCUAAAGUGAAAGAGGCCAUGGCUCCCAUCAGGUUAAACAGAUGGGGGCUUCCUGAGCUGAGCCUGGAGAGCAUGCAGUGCAGUGAGCCAUGGGUGUUUGCUGGGGGCGAUGUAGCCGGCCUCGCCAACACCUCUGUGGAGUCAGUCAACGAUGGCAAGCAGGCCUCCUGGCACAUCCACAAAUACUUACAGGCAAUUCACGGGCAGACGGUUAGCAGUGAGCCACAACUGCCUCUCUUCUACUCACCCAUCGACACUGUGGACAUCAGCGUGGAAAUGUGUGGGAUCAAAUUUCCAAACCCAUUUGGUCUGGCCAGUGCUCCACCCACCACCAGUACACCGAUGAUACGCAGAGCCUUUGAGCAAGGCUGGGGCUUUGCCCUCACCAAGACCUUCUCUCUUGACAAGGACCUGGUGACCAACGUGUCUCCACGAAUCGUGCGCGGAACCACAUCAGGUCCGAUGUUUGGCCCAGGCCAGGGUUCCUUCCUCAACAUCGAGCUAAUCAGCGAGAAAACCGCAGCCUACUGGUGCCAGAGUGUGUCCGAGCUUAAGGCAGACUUCCCUCACAAUAUUAUCAUUUCCAGCAUAAUGUGCAGCUACAACAAAGAUGAUUGGACUGAGCUUGCCAAAAUGGCAGAGGCUUCUGGAGCUGAUGCCCUGGAGCUGAAUUUAUCCUGCCCUCAUGGAAUGGGAGAGAGGGGUAUGGGACUCGCCUGCGGGCAGGAUCCAGAGCUGGUGCAGAACAUCUGCCGCUGGGUACGACAAGCUGUCACGAUCCCCUUCUUUGCCAAGCUGACCCCUAAUGUCACCAACAUUGUGGAUAUUGCCACGGCUGCACAAGCAGGUGGUGCAGAUGGCGUCACUGCCACUAACACAGUCUCAGGCCUGAUGGGACUGAAGGCAGACGGCUCUCCCUGGCCUGGCAUCGGCCGAGACAAGCGCACCACAUAUGGUGGCGUGUCUGGCAAUGCCAUUCGUCCGAUUACCCUGCGUGCGGUAUCGGCUAUAGCCCGGGCACUCCCUGGUUUUCCCAUCUUGGCCACUGGGGGCAUUGACUCUGCUGAGUCUGGCCUACAGUUCCUCCAAGCCGGCGCCUCAGUACUGCAGGUCUGCAGUGCUGUACAGAAUCAGGAUUUCACAGUGAUAGAGGACUACUGUGUGGGACUGAAAGCUCUGCUCUAUCUGAAGAGCAUUGAGGAGUUGAGGGACUGGGACGGUCAGUCUCCCCCCACUGUCCGCCACCAGAAAGGCAAACCUGUGCCCGCUAUACAAGAGCUGCUGGAUAAGAAAUUGCCAAAUUUUGGUCCAUAUCUUGAGGAAAAGAAGCUGGCCAUAGCAGACUACAAAAAGAAGCUUACCGAUCUUAAAGACAGCACACCUCCUUCCGGUGGCUCAAGAAUUAACACCCCUAAGACACCUGUGCCAGCUGUUCAAGAUGUGAUAGCCCGAGCUCUGAAGCACAUUGGAGCAUACCAGGAGCUGAACAUCCAGGAGCAAGUGCAGGCUCUUAUAGAUGAAGAGAUGUGCAUCAACUGUGGAAAGUGUUACAUGACCUGCAAUGACUCUGGAUACCAGGCCAUUACAUUUGACCCUGAGACCCAUUUGCCUGUAGUUCAGGACAGCUGCACCGGCUGCACUCUCUGCCUCAGCGUUUGUCCCAUCAUCGACUGCAUCCAAAUGGUUACCAGGACAACGCCCUAUGUGCCAAAGAGAGGCCUCCCUCAAGCCAUCAUGCCUGUAUGCUGAACGAACGAAGAGAAGGAGAGAGGAAUGAGAGAGAGAGAGAGAGAGAGAGAGAGAGAGAGAGAGAUUGAGAAUGAAUAAUGGAAAAAAAAUCACCAAAUGUCUACAUCAGAGCAUUGAUUUCAGUACAUAAUUGCAGGGUGAAAAAUGACCUUUGUUGUAAAGGAGGGGGGAGCAAAUAAUUAGUCUUGAGAAAUAAUUGCUUUAUAUUCUGAAGCCAAUUAUCCAGAAAUAAUCGCACAGCUAAAAAAUACUUGCGUUAUUUCAAAACAAUAGCGGGGCAACGUGUUGUCGUGGAGUUCAUUCGCUCCUCUUUGUCAGGGCUGUGCUAAUGAGAAUGAAGAAGGAGGAUUCAAAUAAUGGAUGUUCAUGAUGAUGCAGGGAACCCAUGCCACCACUGCAUGCUGUGUCCUCCAGCAAGACAUAGUGACAGUGCUUCCUGUAAGCUAUUAUUUAAAACAGGAAAUAAUCAGAUAUACAGGUGGUUGUCAUAACGACUGAGAAAUAUUGAUUAAUAUGAUUUGUAAACAUUUCUAACAUAUAGAACAUGUUUGGUUAUACUCAUGUUUACAGUUUUUCACCUCCAUGUACAUAUGUUCAAACAAGCGCAGCUCCUUUUGAAGCUUUGAUUAGUAAGUGGUUAUUCUGAGAGCCAGCCUGCUUGUGUUAUACUGCGAACGCCGUGUAGAAAGGUCACCGUUGACUGGUUCCAGAUCAUUAGAUAUGAAGACUAGCUGUGAUUCAUUCUAGACCCUAAAGGUCAGCUCUGACCACUUCUAUCUCAAUAAAUCCACACUGCUCCGGGUUGUGUGCCUUCAUGCAACUGCUCCAUGUCAGCAAUACAAAAUGUUACUGCACAGGAACAGGAUGUGUCACUGAGCUGUCACAAGGAAUGGCUGUGAAAAUUAUUUCAUUUAUUUAUCCUGUUGCCCAUAGUGACAAAGUAUUUUACAUGAUCUCUGUAUUCCAGAAUUGGGUAAAUAAAAUAUGAUGAGUGAAAUUUGACUACUAAUUAAAUACAAUUUGUCAUCCCAUGUUUAUCUGUAUUUAGCACUAAUAAAAAAAGCAUUUAUCACAUA